RNAcentral lists this ribosomal RNA (465 nucleotides) under uncultured Klebsiella sp. RNAcentral's name for it is "bacterial SSU rRNA". It matches the Rfam family "Bacterial small subunit ribosomal RNA", at positions 338 to 795 of the family's 1533-position model. The record is from RNAcentral. Lineage: Bacteria; Pseudomonadati; Pseudomonadota; Gammaproteobacteria; Enterobacterales; Enterobacteriaceae.
CCUACGGGGGGCAGCAGUGGGGAAUAUUGCACAAUGGGCGCAAGCCUGAUGCAGCCAUGCCGCGUGUGUGAAGAAGGCCUUCGGGUUGUAAAGCACUUUCAGCGGGGAGGAAGGCGGUGAGGUUAAUAACCUCAUCGAUUGACGUUACCCGCAGAAGAAGCACCGGCUAACUCCGUGCCAGCAGCCGCGGUAAUACGGAGGGUGCAAGCGUUAAUCGGAAUUACUGGGCGUAAAGCGCACGCAGGCGGUCUGUCAAGUCGGAUGUGAAAUCCCCGGGCUCAACCUGGGAACUGCAUUCGAAGCUGGCAGGCUAGAGGCUUGUAGAGGGGGGUAGAAUGCCAGGUGGAGCGGUGAAAUGCGUAGAGAUCUGGAGGAAUACCGGUGGCGAAGGCGGCCCCCUGGACAAAGACUGACGCUCAGGUGCGAAAGCGUGGGGAGCAAACAGGAUUAGAUACCCCAGUAGUC